This 253-nucleotide ribosomal RNA is filed under the name uncultured bacterium. RNAcentral's name for it is "partial 16S ribosomal RNA". It matches the Rfam family "Bacterial small subunit ribosomal RNA", at positions 524 to 776 of the family's 1533-position model. The record is from RNAcentral.
UACGUAGGUGGCAAGCGUUAUCCGGAAUUAUUGGGCGUAAAGCGCGCGUAGGCGGUUUCUUAAGUCUGAUGUGAAAGCCCACGGCUCAACCGUGGAGGGUCAUUGGAAACUGGGAAACUUGAGUGCAGAAGAGGAAAGUGGAAUUCCAUGUGUAGCGGUGAAAUGCGCAGAGAUAUGGAGGAACACCAGUGGCGAAGGCGGCUUUCUGGUCUGUAACUGACGCUGAUGUGCGAAAGCGUGGGGAUCAAACAGG